Molecule: RNA transcript, 3711 nt
Organism: Aquila chrysaetos chrysaetos
Lineage: Eukaryota; Metazoa; Chordata; Aves; Accipitriformes; Accipitridae
Gene: WHAMM
Gene name: WASP homolog associated with actin, golgi membranes and microtubules
Exons: 10
Source: RefSeq, a predicted model, not a curated record
CCCGCCCCCUGGCCGGGUGCGCGCGGCGCCUUUAAGGCUCGUGGGUUUCUGUUUCGCUCCGCAGGCGCGGGGGCUGCGCGGCCGCCGCCAUCAUGGAGCCGCAGCCCGACAGCCUGGAGGGGUGGGUGGCCGUGCGCGACACCGCCUUCGCCGAGCCUCAGCCGCCGCGGCUCCGCUUCCUCGUGGCCUGGAACGGCGUGGAGGGCGCGUUCGCCGUGACCUGCCACGGCCGGGCGGAGGCGGCGGGGCAGGCCUCGCAGAGCUGGGCCGGCCUCUUCUCGGCGCCGGCCCUGCGCGGCGUCCACCGGCAGCUGGCGGCCGUCUGUCCGCGCCUGGAGCCCGCCUUCCCCGCGCUGCCGCCCGCGCUGCCCGGCGCCUCCGGCGGCGGAGGGCUUUGGGCCGUGCUGUUCCCCGGCGGCGCGGCGCCGGGCGAGGCCGAGGUGCAGGAGCUGUGCCGGGAGCUGGAGCUCUACCUGGGCUGGGCCCUGGAGCUCUGCGGUGGCCGCGUGGUGCUGGACGCCCUCUUCGCCGCCGACCGCCACCGCGACGACGAGUACUUCGAGAGCCUCCACGAGCUGCGCGGGAGGGCCCUGCGCGGCCACCUGGCCCGGGCCAAGGAGGCCCUGCGGCGGGUUCUUCAGAAGCAUAAAAAUGCUGACACAAUGGUGGCUUUGAUGAAGGUUUAUGAAGAAGAAGACGAAGCUUAUCAGGAUUUGGUCACCAUGGCAACACAAUUCUACCAGUAUUUACUGCAGCCCUUUAGAGAUAUGCGAGAGCUGGCAACACUGUACAAACUGGAAAUCCUGAAAUCUUUGCAGUAUGAUAAUUUGGGGCCUAAAAGAGUAGCAGCUUUGCAGAAAGAUGCCGAAGAAUGGACUAAACGAGCUGAGAAUGCUGUGUGCUCCAUUCAGGAUAUCACUGUGAACUACUUCAAGGAAACUGUAAAGGCUCUGGCAGCAAUGCACAGACAGAUGGAACAAGAUCAGGAAAGAUUUGGUAAAACCACCUGGGCAUCAGCUUUGCCACGACUAGAAAACCUGAAAUGCAUGUUAGCUAAAGAAACCCUUCAGCAUCUGAGGGCAAGAGAGUUGUGCCUGAAACAGAAGAGAGCUGGCUUUCAGAAAAAUAUGGAGAAUCUCAGUGAACAAGAAGAGAACUUAACUGUAGUGGAGGAGCUGGAAAUACAGUAUUAUGAAACGCAGCUGGAAUUAUAUAAUGUACAGCUUGAAGUAUUGAAACAUGAAGAGAUGCUGCUUAUUGUACAGUUGGACACUUUAAGGAGACAGAUUAAAGAGAAACAGGAUGAAGUUGUUUACUAUGAUACAUGUGAAAAUCCUGAGGAGCUCAAGGUCAUUGAACAGACAAUGGGACAACAUUACGCUAACUUGUCAGAAAUGACGAUGCUGAGGCAGAAGACUAAGCAGUUGGAGACAAAGCGUGGGACUGUCUGUGCGAGAAGAGCCUACCUCAGGAACAAAAAAGAUCAAUGUGAAGCAAGCCAUCGGCAGAGACUGCAACAGGCAGAAGAGAGCAAAAAACGCUUCCAGCAGCAUCACAGCAUACAGAUAAAGAGAGACAAGCAAAAAGAGGAGGAAAAAAAGAAAAAAGCUUGGAUAAGCCAGGAACGUCAGAAAACACUGGAGAGGCUGAAAACAUUCAGGGAGAAGUGUCCAGCUCAUGUUGUUGUGAAAACAUCUCAUUCCCAGCAUCUCAGUCCCAAGUUGCCACGAAACAUCACUCAGCAGGUUGCAGUACUGUCCCCACUACCUUCGUCGAGAGCAAGGGCAGCUCUAGAGCAGCCAAAGAGCAUACUGCUAGUAGAAGCCAAAGAAUUAAAAGCUUCACAUCAGAAUACCCCAGCAGAUAUCCCUGUCCAGGUUUUUGUUACUGAUGGUGACACAGAGCAACAAAAACAUAGCGAGGCACUGAUGGUCUCUCCAUCCUCACCACCACCACCACCACCACCACCUCCUCCACCCCCUCCUCCUUUACCCUCUCCUCCCCCAUGUCCCCCCUUACCUCUCCAGUUAAAGACAACAUUGGCAGCGGAGGAUAAGCCACUUCCCCUUAGCUCUGAUAGCCCCACAGAAAGCUCUGCACUGCACAAACAGGAUGACUCAUCCAGGAGGUCUAUAAAUAAUUACAUAGGUAAGAAGGCUGACAUCGACUGGUGGUUUUUUGUUUCCUCUAUUUUUCUGUUCUCCCUCCCUCUGGUUCCGGACAGGAAUAGUGUGCAGCCUUGCUCAAGAGAAUGAAGCUCUUGGAAAGCUUAGUAAGCUUUCAAGUAAGAAACCACAUACAGUAACACUGACCAUAACUCAGGAUGUUAAAUGAGUAACGGUGAUUUGUUGUAUCCCGUUUGAUACACUUCACAGGGUCCUGAUGCUCAAGAGUGUGUGAGUCGGCGAUUUUGGUGAAGUGCUGUCAAUUGGGCCAGGUCAAUCUUUUAGGACAUUUGAACUUGAAUAUCUGCUGGAAUCCUACAUUUAUUAAGUACAGCCUUACAAGUUAGUUUAAGCCAUGCUUAAUCACAGCACUACUAGGUCUGUGGAGAUCUCAAUUCAGGACCUGCAUUUCUCAUGACACUAAAAAUCCCACUGCUGUAAUAGGUAGGAAUGUGUCAGAAGAAAUUCCAAGGAGAAGGAGUUUAUUCAUGUUGUUUGGUGAGAAGCAACUUUUAUUACCAGGUUUGUUCUUGCCACAGUUUUGUAACUUUUGAACUGAAUGUGGUAUUUUGAUUGAGAAUUAAUCACCUGUCCAGUCAGAAGACCACUGUGGGUAGAUUUGUGGUUGUACUAAGUAAUCACUUCAGUGUUUGUGAUUCAUGUACUACGGAGCUAGCAGUUGGGCUGCUUGUGUUUCUAAGGUAUGCACAACCUGUGUCCACUUACAAUUUGCUUGGUUACUAAAUAAAGGUUUCUUAAGAGAAUUCAUGCAGAAUUCAACCAGGAUUUGAAAGGCAGAUGGAUAGCUUUGGCAUACUAACAUUCCUAGGGCAAACAUUCUGCUCUGUUACACCUCUGCUUUGUUAGCAAGAUCAUGCAGGUGUAAUUGAAGGCUGAACUCUGCAAUUGACACAGUAGUUUGAAUGAGAAUAGAGCUCAGCAGCCUGCCAAGGCUUCACUGGUUACAUCCUGCUAACAGGCUUAUUUUUGUCUCUAAAGCAAGCAGAUACUUUGACUAUGUCAGGGAGAUUGAUCUAAGUUGGAAGGCAGCAAUUUUUUAUUGUCAUUUUUCAUAGUGGAGCUUAUGCUAGAAUGAAGCAUGUCUCUAAAUGUGGUACAUUCCUUUUCCUUUUCAGACUGUUCACAAUACAUCUAAGCAGCCUUUGUAUCCUCUCAGUUAAGAGGCAAACCACAGGCAGAAAUACCAAGGAAAGUUCAGCAUUUUCAGUUCUUCCAAGGUGUGGGGAAGUACAAGCAGCUGAAGGGCUGAGAUGCAGUUGAGUUACCAUGGUGAACUACUGUGCUUCCAGUGGAUCAGCGUGCGGACUUCAGUCUAGGAGGUUCCAUGGAUGAGGUUUUGGCUUCACUAAAACGUGGUGAAGUUCAUCUUCGCAAAGUGGAACAGCCAAAUCCGUAUGCCUCUGUAAAAGACAACAUCCUCUCUGCCAUAAGGCAAGGAGUUAAACUAAGAAAAGUGAACCGAGAUACUGAGAAAGAUGUCACUAAAGGAUCCACUAAUGAGCUAGAGAGAAGCAUUAAGGCAGUC